CACGUAGGAGGCAAACGUUAUCCGGAUUUACUGGGCGUAAAGCGCGUGUAGGUGGUACUGUAAGUAGGGCGUGAAAGCUCCUGGCUCAACUGGGAGAGGCCGUUCUAAACUGCAGCACUCGAGUUUGGUAGAGGAAGAUGGAAUUCCAGGUGUAGCGGUAAAAUGCGCAGAUAUCUGGAGGAACACCAGUGGCGAAAGCGGUCUUCUAGACCAAUACUGACACUCAGACGCGAAAGCUAGGGUAGCAAACGGG
RNAcentral lists this ribosomal RNA (253 nucleotides) under uncultured bacterium. RNAcentral's name for it is "partial 16S ribosomal RNA". It matches the Rfam family "Bacterial small subunit ribosomal RNA", at positions 524 to 776 of the family's 1533-position model. The record is from RNAcentral.